CCUACGGGAGGCUGCAGUGGGGAAUAUUGCGCAAUGGGCGAAAGCCUGACGCAGCGACGCCGCGUGCGUGAUGAAGGUCUUCGGAUCGUAAACCUCUGUCAGCAGGGAAGAACGGUCACUGUGCUAAUCAGCAGUGAAUUGACGGUACCUCCAAAGGAAGCACCGUCUAACUCCGUGCCAGCAGCCGCGGUAAUACGGAGGUUGCGGGCGUUCAACGGAUUUACUUUGAGUAAAGGGUGCGUAGGCGGUAUGUCAAGCCACAGGUGAAAUCCCCGCGCUCAACUUGGGAACUGCCUCUGAUACUGGCAAACUGGAGAGUGUGGGAGGUAAGUGGAAUGCAAGGUGUAGCAGUGA
Molecule: ribosomal RNA, 354 nt
Filed under: uncultured bacterium
Lineage: Bacteria
Description: partial 16S ribosomal RNA
Rfam family: Bacterial small subunit ribosomal RNA
Source: RNAcentral